UCUGAACCAAGGGUUUACACCUCCCUUACUUUCUCUCUCUAGGAAGUGUUCUCUCUCUAAGUGGAAUCAAGGGUUUUGGUCCAGGUUCCUCUCCUCUUUUGAUGCUGAUUGCUUUGGGAGGUCAAUGAGCUAUUACAGAAGGUGGAGAAGGUGUCUUGGGUGGAUUUCGCAACUCCUUGGCAGCAAGUAGCUGAAGGAAAGGAGUGGGGGAGAGAUUUUGGCAGCUCGGGAAGGGGGUUGUGGCUGUGGAGCUUCAAUACGAAGCUAGGGGAAGGUACUACGAAAGCUGUGAGAAGCUAGAAUCUUCACUUUAAACGGAGUAUUACAAGUAUUACAAUCUUAUGAGUUGAUUUUGAAUGUAAUUUAACCAGAGGGAUGUGAGAAUUCAGGUUGGGAAUCUAUGCAAGCUGAAUUCCAGCAUAUUCUACGAAAUCGCAUAGGUGUACUAACACUGUUUGAGUAGUGUUCCCAGCAGGUUUGCCAAAGGCUAUCGGAUUGUUCUUGGUUGAUAUUUAGAAACUUUUGGAGGUUAAGGUGAGUACCUGAACCUGAACCAAAGCAAGGGUUCAAACUACAGCCAUGUGCAAGGUACGAAGAUCACUUUGGGCUGAACAUUGAGCCCUUUUUGGGCUGAAUUAAACUGAGUUUGGGAGUACUUCAACCUGAAUUAAGCAGAGGUUUAGUUUCAGUCUAAGCCUAGGGGAAUUGAAGGCUUCAGAUUUCCUGCAAAAGUAAGUUCGACAAGGAUCAUCAAGUAGUAGGUGGGUCUGACCUUACCAGAACAAGUGAAACCCCUAUGUUCUAUAUGAUACUAUAGAAUUACUUGGAUGUGUAACUUUAUGAAUAAGUACUCAAUAUCGGGUAUUGAAUGCUAUAAACACAUUGGUUUAUUGAGUGAAAUGGAACUUUUAUAAUGUGUAUAGAAGCAUGAGUAAUAGUAAUGAUGCUUAGUCUAAAUAUCUGGACCUUACAUGACAUAGGUACAUAUGCAUUACUUCCUUAAUUUGUUGAAUCCAGUGGAUAUUAGC
Ananas comosus (pineapple) is the source of this 1028-nucleotide long non-coding RNA. RefSeq lists it as uncharacterized. NCBI's taxonomy places the organism in Eukaryota, Viridiplantae, Streptophyta, Magnoliopsida, Poales, Bromeliaceae. The record is from RefSeq and is a predicted model, not a curated record. The transcript is spliced from 5 exons.